RNAcentral lists this ribosomal RNA (502 nucleotides) under uncultured bacterium. Its description in RNAcentral is "partial 16S ribosomal RNA". It matches the Rfam family "Bacterial small subunit ribosomal RNA", at positions 30 to 523 of the family's 1533-position model. The record is from RNAcentral.
AUUGAACGCUGGCGGCAGGCUUAACACAUGCAAGUCGAGCGGGGUGAUGGUGCUUGCACUAUCACUUAGCGGCGGACGGGUGAGUAAUGCUUAGGAAUCUGCCUAUUAGUGGGGGACGACAUCUCGAAAGGGAUGCUAAUACCGCAUACGUCCUACGGGAGAAAGCAGGGGAUCACUUGUGACCUUGCGCUAAUAGAUGAGCCUAAGUCGGAUUAGCUAGUUGGUGGGUAGAGGCCUACCAAGGCGACGAUCUGUAGCGGGUCUGAGAGGAUGAUCCGCCACACUGGGACUGAGACACGGCCCAGACUCCUACGGGAGGCAGCAGUGGGGAAUAUUGGACAAUGGGGGGAGCCCUGAUCCAGCCAUGCCGCGUGUGUGAAGAAGGCUUUAUGGUUGUAAAGCACUUUAAGCGAGGAGGAGGCUCUUUUGGUUAAUACCCAAGAUGAGUGGACGUUACUCGCAGAAUAAGCACCGGCUAACUCUGUGCCAGCCGCCGCAGUAA